UGUGGAUAGCGGAGAAAUUCCAAUCGAACCCGGAUAUAGCUGGUUCUCCCCGAAAUAGUUUUAGGACUAGCCUCGUGAUCAAGAUUAUCGGAGGUAAAGCACUGAAUGGCCUAGGGGUCGAGAGAUUACCGAAGCCUAUCAAACUCUGAAUGCCGAAUAAUCAUGCACGGGAGUCAGACUGUGUGAGAUAAGUUUCAUAGUCGAAAGGGAAACAGCCCAGACCUACAGCUAAGGUCCCAAAGUACGUUUAAGUGGAAAACGAUGUGAAAUUGCGUAGACAACCAGGAUGUUGGCUUAGAAGCAGCCAUACAUUAAAAGAGUGCGUAAUAGCUCACUGGUCGAGUGACUUUGCGCGGAAAAUUUAACGGGGCUAAAACGUACACCGAAGCUUAGGCUUGCAACUAUGUUGCAGGGGUAGGGGAGCGUUGAAUGAGGGGUGAAGUCGUAGCGAAAGCGACGGUGGACUUCAUUCAAGUGAGAAUGCCGGAAUGAGUAGCGAGAAUUAUGUGAGAAUCAUAAUGGCCGAAAGCCUAAGGUUUUUGGAGGAAGGUUCGUCCGCUCCAAGUAAGUCGGAAGCUAAGGUGAGGCUGAAAAGCGUAGCCGAUGCACAAACGGUUGAAAUUCCGUUACCACAGAAAGAUUUAAACUAAGGGACACUUUUGAAGAGCUGAUGCCGGGUGUUGGUUACCCCGGUCGUAAGGGAACGAAAUUAAGUAGUGAAGUCAGCGUGGAUGAAGGCGAGAAAAGCUUAGUGUAUAUCUUAUGUGUCCGUACCGCAAACCGACACAGGUAGGUAGGAAGAGAAUUCUAAGGCCAACGGGAGAAGGGUAGUUAAGGAACUCGGCAAAAUGUCCCCGUAACUUCGGAAUAAGGGGAGGUUUCUACGGAAACCCGCAGAGAAUAGUCCCAGGCAACUGUUUAUCAAAAACACAGCUCUAUGCUAAAUCGAAAGAUGACGUAUAUGGGGUGACGCCUGCCCGGUGCCGGAAGGUUAAGAGGAGGAGUGAGAGCCCUGAAUCGAAGCCCCGGUAAACGGCGGCCGUAACUAUAACGGUCCUAAGGUAGCGAAAUUCCUUGUCAGGUAAGUUCUGACCCGCACGAAUGGCGUAAUGAUCUGGGCACUGUCUCAACAGCCCGCCCGGCGAAAUUGUAGUACCGGUGAAGAUGCCGGUUACCCGCGACUAGACGGAAAGACCCCAUGGAGCUUUACUGUAGCUUAAUAUUGGAUUUCGGCAUUUCAUGUACAGGAUAGGUGGGAGACUAGGAAACAUAGGCGUCAGCUUAUGCGGAGUCGUCCUUGGGAUACCACUCUUGGAGUGCUGAAAUUCUAACCUGCAGCCCUGAAUCGGGUUGGGGGACAUUGUUAGGUGGGCAGUUUGACUGGGGCGGUCGCCUCCAAAAAGGUAACGGAGGCGCUCAAAGGUUGGCUCAGCAUGGAUGGAAACCAUGCCAUAGAGUGCAAACGCAAAAGCCAGCCUGACUGCGAGACUGACGGGUCGAGCAGAAACGAAAGUUGGAGUUAGUGAUCCGGCGGUAUGUGAAUGGAAAUGCCGUCGCUCAACGGAUAAAAGCUACCCUGGGGAUAACAGGCUGAUCU
This 1597-nucleotide ribosomal RNA is filed under the name human gut metagenome. RNAcentral's name for it is "bacterial LSU rRNA". It matches the Rfam family "Bacterial large subunit ribosomal RNA", at positions 810 to 2488 of the family's 2925-position model. The record is from RNAcentral.